Hipposideros armiger (great roundleaf bat) is the source of this 561-nucleotide long non-coding RNA. RefSeq lists it as uncharacterized. Lineage: Eukaryota; Metazoa; Chordata; Mammalia; Chiroptera; Hipposideridae. The transcript has 3 exons. The record is from RefSeq and is a predicted model, not a curated record.
GAGUUCAGGGAGCCCGCGCCGAGCCUCACGGGGGCGCGGCCGGCCUCCUUUGUCCUGGCCGCCUCCAGCUGGUGAGAGGAGAGGCGACCCUCGCUGAGUGCCCCUUUCCCCGCAGCGAUCAGGGGCGACGGAAAGCUGGCGGUGAUCUGGCCUCCCCGCAGAAAAGCUUCGGAGAACGGGCUGGAGCAGGAGGAGCGGAAGCCUUGAGGUUGGAGCAGGCUGGGACCCCCGGCCGGAAGUAACAUUCCCGUCAGAGGACCCGGGCAGGGACGCCCAGGAGUGCCCUCCAGAUCAGUGGAAGGCCUGGAGCGGGGCCAGCGGUCUGCUCUUGGGAAGAUGAAAUCGACCAGCCCAUCCUUGAACUAGACUUUGUGAAAUUGACCAGCCUCUGCUAUAAAAUUGUUAUUCCCCAUUGGGAAACACCACCACGACACAGCCAGUGAAACUGUCCAGCCCUUCUCCGCCUAACUGCAAACGGAACUAGCCUCUCCCUCCUGCCUUGACUGUUAGAGAACCAGGUCAUCGCCUCGGCUGUCCCCACUUCCCAAUAAAGUCCUUUCU